Meleagris gallopavo (turkey) is the source of this 487-nucleotide non-coding RNA. The record is from RefSeq and is a predicted model, not a curated record. Lineage: Eukaryota; Metazoa; Chordata; Aves; Galliformes; Phasianidae.
UCUCCUUAGAGUCUUCUCCAGGUUUAACAAGUCCUACUCCUUCAAUGUUUCUUCAUAAGAGAGGUGCUCCAGACCUCUCUGUGGCCCUCCUCCACUUCAGCAGUUCCGCAUUCUUCCCGUAUUGGGAGUUCCAGCCUGGAUACAGAAUUCCAGAUGGAGCCUUACAAGGGCAGAAUGAAGAAGGACAAUCACCUGCCUCUCCCUGCUGGCUGCCCAUCUUUUGACGCAGUUCAGGAUACUGUUGGCCUUUCAGGCUGCAAACGGACACUGCUGGCUCAUGUUUAGAGAAAUCGUUGGAACCUCAAUGCUAGAAGGCUUAUUUAGCUGAAAAAUGCUGUAUCCUGUGGAUGUCAGAAAUUCUGUGAAGCUACAAACUGUGGCUGCAUGCAGUGCAGUGUCCCAGAAUAAAAUCAAUACCUGCAAAUGCAGUCCAGCAGUGCCUGCAACUAAGAAGAGGAGCAUUUUAACUAUUAAAAUAACGUUUGUG